This 855-nucleotide ribosomal RNA is filed under the name uncultured Zetaproteobacteria bacterium. Its description in RNAcentral is "bacterial SSU rRNA". It matches the Rfam family "Bacterial small subunit ribosomal RNA", at positions 34 to 883 of the family's 1533-position model. The record is from RNAcentral. Lineage: Bacteria; Pseudomonadati; Pseudomonadota; Candidatius Mariprofundia.
CGCUGGCGGCAUGCCUAACACAUGCAAGUCGAACGGUAACAGGUCUUCGGAUGCUGACGAGUGGCGCACGGGUGAGUAACGCGUGGAUAUCUGCCUAUGAGUGGGGGACAACUUUCGGAAACGAAAGCUAAUACCGCAUAAUCUCUACGGAGCAAAGCAGGGGACCUUUCGGGGCCUUGUGCUUAUAGAUGAGUCCGCGUCAGAUUAGCUAGUUGGUGGGGUAAGAGCCUACCAAGGCGAUGAUCUGUAGCUGGUUUGAGAGGAUGAUCAGUCACACUGGAACUGAGACACGGUCCAGACUCCUACGGGAGGCAGCAGUGGGGAAUUUUGCACAAUGGGCGCAAGCCUGAUGCAGCGAUGCCGCGUGUGGGAAGAAGGCCUUUGGGUUGUAAACCACUUUCAAUUGGGAAGAAGGGAUGAGUAUUAAUAAUACUCUGACUUGACGGUACCUUUAGAAGAAGCACCGGCUAAUUUCGUGCCAGCAGCCGCGGUAAUACGAAAGGUGCAAGCGUUGUUCGGAUUUACUGGGCGUAAAGAGAUCGUAGGUGGUUUGUUAAGUUAGAUGUGAAAUCCCGGGGCUCAACCUCGGAACUGCAUCUAAAACUGGCAGACUUGAGUUCGGGAGGGGUAAGCGGAAUUCCGUGUGUAGCAGUGAAAUGCGUAGAUAUACGGAGGAACACCUGAGGCGAAGGCGGCUUACUGGACCGAUACUGACACUGAGGAUCGAAAGCGUGGGUAGCAAACAGGAUUAGAUACCCUGGUAGUCCACGCCCUAAACGAUGUCAACUAGCCGUUGCGGGUAUCGACCCCUGCAGUGGCGCAGCUAACGCGAUAAGUUGACCGCCUGGGGAGUAC